GGGGUGGUGACUGGGUCCAGAAUGGCUUCGGAUUCGGGGAACCAGGGGACCCUCUGCACGCGAUCAUCGGUUGGUCCCUGCCGCCCUUGCAGUUGGAGUUCGCGGUGCAGAUGACCUGUCAGAGCUGUGUGGACGCGGUGCGCAAAUCCCUGCAAGGGGUGGCAGGUGUCCAGGAUGUGGAGGUGCACUUGGAGGACCAGAUGGUCUUGGUACACACCACUCUACCCAGCCAGGAGGUGCAGGCUCUCCUGGAAGGCACGGGGCGGCAGGCGGUACUCAAGGGCAUGGGCAGCGGCCAGUUGCGUGAGUGACCACUGUGGCCUUGGCCCCUCUCGGAGGGAGGUGGCUCAGAGCUGGUACAAAUCUAAUCAUAGGAUUCUCAGGCUCUGGGUUGGAGUGGCUUUGAGGAAGGUGUGAAAAUUAUGUGAGACUCCCUGCCCUUCCCGAGCUGCUGAAGAGGUGUGCUGGGUGAGGUGGCAAGCCAGCCCAAGUGUCUAAUACCUUGCAGAGAAUCUGGGGGCAGCAGUGGCCAUCCUGGGGGGGCCUGGCACCGUGCAGGGGGUGGUGCGCUUCCUACAGCUGACCCCUGAGCGCUGCCUCAUCGAGGGAACUAUUGACGGCCUGGAGCCUGGGCUGCAUGGACUCCACGUCCAUCAGUACG
This 661-nucleotide long non-coding RNA is filed under the name Homo sapiens (human). Its description in RNAcentral is "HSALNT0177078". Lineage: Eukaryota; Metazoa; Chordata; Mammalia; Primates; Hominidae. The record is from RNAcentral.